UCGGUGCCGCUGCUAACGCAUUAAAUACUCCACCUGGUAACUACGCUCUCAAGUGUGUAUCUCAACAGAAUUGACGGGCCCCCGCACAAGUAACGGAGCAUGUGGUUUAAUUCGAAGCAACGCGAAGAACCUUACCUAAGCUUGACAUCCCAAUGACAUCUCCUUAAUCGGAGAGUUCCCUUCGGGGACAUUGGUGACAGGUGGUGCAUGGUUGUCGUCAGCUCGUGUCGUGAGAUGUUGGGUGAAGUCCCGAAACGAGCGCAACACUUGUGUAUAGUUGCCAUCAUUAAGUUGGGCGCUCUAGAUGGACGGUCAGUGAUAACAUGGAGGAAGGUGGGGAUUACGUCAAAUCAGCAUGCCCCUUAUGCCUAGGGCUACACACGGGAUACAAUGGGUAGUACAGUGGGUUGCCAAGCCGUAAGGUGGAGCUAAUCCCUUAAAGCUACUCUUAGUUCGGAUUGUAGGCUGAAACUCGCCUACAUGAAGCUGGAGUUACUAGUAAUCGCAGAUCAGAAUGCUGCGGUGAAUGCGUUCCCGGGUCUUGUACACAC
RNAcentral lists this ribosomal RNA (551 nucleotides) under Clostridioides difficile. RNAcentral's name for it is "bacterial SSU rRNA". It matches the Rfam family "Bacterial small subunit ribosomal RNA", at positions 840 to 1390 of the family's 1533-position model. The record is from RNAcentral. Lineage: Bacteria; Bacillati; Bacillota; Clostridia; Peptostreptococcales; Peptostreptococcaceae.